AUUGAACGCUGGCGGCAGGCCUAACACAUGCAAGUCGAACGGUAACAGGAAGAAGCUUGCUUCUUUGCUGACGAGUGGCGGACGGGUGAGUAAUGUCUGGGAAACUGCCUGAUGGAGGGGGAUAACUACUGGAAACGGUAGCUAAUACCGCAUAACGUCGCAAGACCAAAAAGGGGGACCUUCGGGCCUCUUGCCAUCGGAUGUGCCCAGAUGGGAUUAGCUAGUAGGUGGGGUAACGGCUCACCUAGGCGACGAUCCCUAGCUGGUCUGAGAGGAUGACAAGCCGCAGGGGAACAGAGACACGGUCCAGGCUCCGACGGGAGGCACCAGUGGGGAAUGUUGCACAAUGGGCGAAAGCUUGAUGCAGCCGUGCCGAGUGUGUGAAGAAGGCCUUCUGGUUGUAAAGUACUUUCAGCGGGGGGGAAAGGAGUAAGGUUGGUACCCUGGCGCAGUGACGUUACCGGCAGAAGAAGCACAGGCUAACUACGUG
This 490-nucleotide ribosomal RNA is filed under the name uncultured bacterium. RNAcentral describes it as "partial 16S ribosomal RNA". It matches the Rfam family "Bacterial small subunit ribosomal RNA", at positions 29 to 507 of the family's 1533-position model. The record is from RNAcentral.